AAAAAGCAAACCCUGGGUUUGCCGUGUCCAACUUAUAUGAAAUUUUUUUAUAAUUCGUAUUUUUAUUGUUGUUAGAUGAUAAAACAUGAUUAAUAUUUUGUGCGUGACUUGUCUUUUUAAUUUUUUUCAUAAUUUUUUCAAAUAAGACGAACGGUCAAACAUUGGGUACGGAAACCAGGGUUUGUCUUUUU
This 191-nucleotide microRNA precursor is filed under the name Oryza rufipogon (brownbeard rice). Its description in RNAcentral is "MIR812 microRNA precursor family". It matches the Rfam family "MIR812 microRNA precursor family". The record is from Rfam by way of RNAcentral. Lineage: Eukaryota; Viridiplantae; Streptophyta; Magnoliopsida; Poales; Poaceae.